GUCCCUGACUGGCUUUGACACAAUGAGCCACAUGAUACUGGAGUGGUUGCAACAUGCUGCUCUCCUCAGCACGUUGGAUGCAAAGAGCUGUUGAAGACACACACAGACUCUGAUGCUCUGAAGGGAAAAGUAUCUGCAGAUGUAGGUGUGAAGGUCGCUUGAGACGGUGUCCAAAUUAUCUAGCGUCCCGGGGGGGAAUGUGGCAAAACAUGGAAAAGAAAAACCGUGUGAGAGAGAACAAAACUGCUAAGCAAUUUUGCUCCAAAUGUGAGAGCACGAAUUGAAGUCUGAAACUCUUUCAAAUAAAUGACUGACAUUUAUGGCAACAAUGUUGGUGCAACAAAGCAAAAUUAUAUUGGAUGGUAACCAGAUUCCAUAUUUAAUGUUUGUACUGUCAUAAAAUACUUCACAUCUGUUUUUUCCAAAGACAAUAAGUGGACAAGAAAAAACAGUGCUUAAACCAUGUUUAAGAAUUCUCCAU
Molecule: long non-coding RNA, 481 nt
Organism: Syngnathus acus (greater pipefish)
Lineage: Eukaryota; Metazoa; Chordata; Actinopteri; Syngnathiformes; Syngnathidae
Exons: 2
Source: RefSeq, a predicted model, not a curated record